ACCGGGUCGCGAGUUGUAAUUUGAUGAGGUAAACUUGGUGGGCGCCUGGGUCUAAAUCCUUUGGAAAAGGGUAUCAUAGAGGGUGACAAUCCCGUCUGUGGCUCAGUCAGCGGUCUAUCGUGUAAGUUGCCUUCAAAGAGUCGGGUUGUUUGGGAAUGCAGCCCUAGGCUGGUGGUAAAUUCCAUCUAAAGCUAAAUAUUCGUGAGAGACCGAUAGCGAACAAGUACCGUGAGGGAAAGUUGAAAAGCACUCUGGAGAGAGAGUCAAACAGCACGUGAAAUUGUUAACAGGGAAACGUUGGGCCCCAGUAGGCGCCUCGCGUAAAAGCAACCAUCUCUUCCCCGAGGGUAUCCGUGCCGGGUGGAUGAGUCCUUAAGAAGGGCCAUUGCCUGGUCGGUGCCCGAGGGGGGUGGUGCACUUUUGCGUGGGCGGGUCAACGUCAGUUAGAGCCACCGGAAAAUCCUGGGAGGAAUGUUGGCGAAGGCAACGGACCCACUUAUAGCCUCCCUUGAAAACGGUGACCCUGACUGAGGAGUCGCAGCCUCAUCAUAUGGCGCGCGCGUCUCCCUUCCCCCUGUGGGUAAGGCAGCUUGCUGACUUGCCUCGGUAAGGGAGGGGACUGCGCGUGUGCCUGGUGGGGCCACGGACGUUGGCGAAAUGGUUCUCAACGACCCGUCUUGAAACACGGACCAAGGAGUCUAACAUGUGUGCGAGUAUUUGGGUGCAAAACCCGAAUGCGCAAUGAAAGUGACCGCAGGGGAGAAGGGUGACCCUCUCGGGGGUCGCCCCGCAUCCUCGACCGAUCCGAUUGCCCUCCGUGGCGACGGGUUUGAGUUUGAGCAUAUCUGUUAGGACCCGAAAGAUGGUGAACUAUGCCUGAGUAGGAUGAAGCCAGAGGAAACUCUGGUGGAGGUCCGUAGCGAUUCUGACGUGCAAAUCGAUCGUCGAACUUGGGUAUAGGGGCGAAAGACUAAUCGAACCAUCUAGUAGCUGGUUCCCGCCGAAGUUUCCCUCAGGAUAGCAGAAACGCGUUAACAGUAUUAUGAGGUAAAGCGAAUGAUUAGAGGCCUUGGGGGCGGAAUGCCCUUAACCUAUUCUCAAACUUUAAAUAUGUAAGAAGUCCUUGCCACUUAAUUGGGCAUGGACGUUGUUGUAUGAGCGUUUCUAGUGGGCCAUUUUUGGUAAGCAGAACUGGCGAUGUGGGAUGAACCAGACGGGAGGUUAAGGUGCCGGAAUGUACGCUCAUGUAGACACCACAAAAGGUGUUGGUUCAUCUAGACAGCAGGACGGUGGCCAUGGAAGUCGGAAUCCGCUAAGGAGUGUGUAACAACUCACCUGCCGAAUGAACUAGCCCCGAAAAUGGAGGGCGCUCAAGCAUACUA
RNAcentral lists this ribosomal RNA (1382 nucleotides) under Piptocephalis freseniana. RNAcentral's name for it is "partial large subunit ribosomal RNA". It matches the Rfam family "Eukaryotic large subunit ribosomal RNA", at positions 130 to 1340 of the family's 3401-position model. Lineage: Eukaryota; Fungi; Zoopagomycota; Zoopagomycetes; Zoopagales; Piptocephalidaceae. The record is from RNAcentral.